CAGAAGCGACGAAGAGAGUGGAGGUGGACUUGUCAAAGACGAUGAAGGCGAAACUGCCGCUGAGAUGACCAACGACGUGGCUGGGCGGGUAGGGUGCCCGGUCACGGAGAGCCUUGUAAGCUUCAAUCAUGAGAAUCACCUCAUUCGCUGAUUUGGCUAAGCCGUAUUGUUGCCUUAAGCUUCCUAAAUUGUCCAAAACUCCCUCGAAUAAACAGAAAAUGUCGUCCUUCACCGCGAAAGAUCUGUUGUCACGUUAUUAAGUAAAUUCGUUAAUUCAGUUAAUUGACAUCCCUGCCCUCCUUAGUAAGCAUUAAUGAUGAGUUACGUUACGUGGCCCAUGUUUCUGUAAGAUUAUUUUAUCAAUAGAUUUCAAAAAAAUUACUAACCUUCUUGCACCAAAACCAAGAACAAUUAAAAGAACAAUAUAUUUAUUGUUGCGUAGUACAGUUUUUAUAUGGCCCCAUGACACUUCAAGUUGAUGCUUUGAUUCAAUUGUUAACUCUUGUUUUUCUAGUUUGGGUCCCUAACCGAAGUUUUAAUUAGUUAAACUAGGUUGAGGUUUAUGAAGUAAUUAAAUCUCUAAAAAGGAUGGUUGAGAUUAGUGGCCAAUGUAAAAAAAAAAAAAUGUUGAAUUUUAUAAUCGAGUAAAUACAAUAUGAAAAAGAGAGUAAGGAGUAAGCAUUAAACAUGGGCCUAUGCUAGCCAUGAUAUUGAUAACAUUUAGAAAAUGUAAAGAUGGGGCUUUGAAUCUAGAUCUAAAGGGAGUUCUAUUUUCCAACUGAUCUAACUUUUACAAUUGAUAUAAAUAUAUAUAUAUAGUAUAAGGUUAAGGGCGAGUCCCUUAAAACCUAUGUUAAAUUCUCUAACUAGACCGGGCAAUCGAUGGUUGAGUGAUGUGUAAAAAAUUACCCCAUUUAUAUUUUAAUGAAGCAAUUAAAAUUCUAUUUUGUUGAGUGUAAUGGUAAUCCACCUUAAGAAAAGUCAAAGAAUUGAUAAGCAACUAAAGGGAAUUAAGAAAUGAAGAAGAAAGAACAAUUAUUUAAAUUGAUACUAAUUGCUAUCUAAAUAAUACACCCAUCAUUAAAUAUAUAUAUAUAUAUAUAUAUAUAUAUAUAUAUAUAUAUGUUUACUUUAUGCAAUUAAUCCAGUGGAUAAGUUCCAAAAGAGAGGACAAAAAUUAGGUAACACGUGUCAUAAGGGCAAUGGAUACUUGUCAGAGAAAUUUACUGAGGAGGGUGUCCACUGACUUUGAUCGCACGUGCCACCACUGGAUCGACAAAUCGCAGCCAUUCAAUGUUGCUCACUACAAUUUUUUCAUCAAUAAAGUUUUCUUUCUCCAACCUGUUUUUAUGUUAUUUCUACGCUUAGAUUUAUCGUAGAUACUAAAUUUUAUUAUUGUACUUAAAAAUUAAUUUUGAUAGUUUAAAUUAAAUUUUAUUCCAGAUUAUAGGACGCCGACAAAGAAAAGACCGACAAUUCCAAAAUAUAUUUCCGUCGGUUUCCGUCCCGUUUUUUCUCAGCAACCAAACACCCCAUCAAUUUAACGGCGGAGAUUUGAAGAACUAAAACCCUCCGUCACCCUGAACCGUUCGAUCACCAAUUUCGAUUCCGUUUAAUUUACAAGUAAUUCGAAAAAUAAAAAAAGAUUCCGGUACGGCAGCGGUGGAUUUAAAUGGAGUAAUUUACCUGGGGCAUAAGGCGGAUUCAGUUUCGUGAGUGUAAGCAAGCUGGACGUGGUCACCGAGCUGCAGCGACACGGCGGAAGGGUUGGUUUGGACGAAGCGGUUGAGUAGAGUGGCGGAUGUGGUUUUCGGCGAGGGCGUACGGCUUCCAGCAGCGACUAACUCGUCCGGCGGGGACAUGAUGGAACUGCUGAAUAAUCCCAACAUGGCUUCACUUUCAAAUAAUAAUAAUAAUAACAACAACAAAUGAAGGAAAAGAAAAAGAAAAAGAAAAGAAACGGAGAGAGUUGUUUAGGGAAUUGGUGAAGGUGGAAAUAUGAGAAGGUUGGACAUGGGAGAGUGAUCGCUUGCAUUGUUGGUAUAUAUAGGAGAGGAUGAGGGUAUUGUGGUCAUUUUACAUAAUUUUUGUUUCUUUUAUUUUUUAGAAGAAAGCAAAAGAAAUAAUUUCUACUUCUUGUUGUUAUUUUUAAAAAAAAAAAAGAGAAAAAGAAAAACAAUGGUUAAUUACCGGUGUGGACUGAGAAGGAGAGGAAAAGAAAUAAAUAGGUGGAAGGCAGCCAGGUGGAGGAGGACACUGAAAUCUGGCCGGCGGGACCCACUUGCUGGCGAUGAUUCCUGGACUUCCCCCAUUGAUGACGUGGAUAAUAUGCUUUUAUAAAAUGUUUGAAUUCAUGAUGUG
This 2361-nucleotide long non-coding RNA is filed under the name Cucumis sativus (cucumber). RNAcentral's name for it is "long non-coding RNA (CSAT_LNC000946)". Lineage: Eukaryota; Viridiplantae; Streptophyta; Magnoliopsida; Cucurbitales; Cucurbitaceae. The record is from RNAcentral.